UACGAAGGGUGCAAGCGUUACUCGGAAUCACUGGGCGUAAAGCGUGCGUAGGCGGUUCGUUAAGUCUGCUGUGAAAGCCCCGGGCUCAACCUGGGAAUUGCGAUGGAGACUGCAAGGCUUGAAUCUGGCAGAGGGGGGUAGAAUUCCACGUGUAGCAGUGAAAUGCGUAGAGAUGUGGAGGAACACCGAUGGCGAAGGCAGCCCCCUGGGUCAAGAUUGACGCUCAUGCACGAAAGCGUGGGGAGCAAACAGG
This 253-nucleotide ribosomal RNA is filed under the name uncultured bacterium. RNAcentral describes it as "partial 16S ribosomal RNA". It matches the Rfam family "Bacterial small subunit ribosomal RNA", at positions 524 to 776 of the family's 1533-position model. The record is from RNAcentral.